CUCCACUCCCUGCCAGCCGUCCUCCAGCUUCUCCUGAGCACUUCCAUUGAAUCCCAAUCAUCUUCUAUGAAAUCAGGGAGCACAUUUCAACUGCAGCAUCUUCCACCUUUAGUCUCAGCCUAAAAGGACCUGGUUUAAGAUCUGCACCAUAUGCUGGCACCAACAGCAGCAGAAAACGUGCUCAUUCUUCUGACCCAAGCAAGAGGGGCCCAAUCUCCUGGAGAAAGUUUUCAAGCUUCAAAGAAGACAGGCGCUUGCAAGGGACAACACUAGAAACACCCCCAGCUGCCUGUCAGAGUGGCCUGGGAGCCCUUUGGUGUCUCCCAGCAGGAGCUCCGGAGAGCAGGGCAUCCUCAGCAGGAGCCUCUUUCUUCCAGUUACUGUAAGCCACUUUUAGAAGUGUCCUAUCCACUCCUAAUGUUCAGUUGUGGGGUUCUGACAGCUGAUGGGAGCCCACACAUCUGAGCGCAGAUGGCUUGUAAAGAAGGCUUUGCUGAGUUCUGAUUGGUUGAUUUCCGUUGUGACCCAGUUGAUCCCAACAUCUCUGCACCGCCCGUUCACAGAUUGCAGGUGCAGUUAAAGCCGACCCCAGCCUCACGAAGCAGAAGUCAAAUGUCCUAAUUCCUUUGUUGGGUCUGCUUCCUUGGCAAUGGGUUUUUUAGGGGGAAGAUCAAAUCUUUCAAAACAUGACGUCCAUGCAGACAGAAACAGUAAAAGAAGUUCGUGGUGGUGAAAAGUUUGCAAACUACUGGCCUCAUCCAGCGCUCUCACUUUACAACCCAGAAAAGGAGGCUGAGGUGGAGAGACUUGCCUGGUCACGUGGCAAGCCAGUGGCAGAGAGAGGCAGGAGCACGCUGUACCCAGAGGGAAGGAGACUAAAGCAGAUCCCCAAGAGAAGGAAAAGCUGGAGACCAGCGACACCCACUGCUCAGACUGUGAUGAGAAGCGCAACUGUUCCAGGCAAAGGAUCUCAGGACAGGAGCUCGGGGGACAGUGGGGAUGACUGACAAGAGGUGGCUGAAGGAAAGUACACUGGACAAGAAUGAAAGAUAAAGAUGGCUUCUGUAUCCUGGAGGCAAGGCUUCCCUUAUCAAAGGGGAAUUGAGAAUGUAAGAGACUUCUCCAUUGGUUUGUGAUGGCAAAUCAUUGACUCUGUGAGGCAGGGUGAGUAAGCAUGCGGUUUGGUAGAAACUCAGGAAAGACGAAGGGAAAUAAAGGCAAAGCUGCAGAAUGACCACCAAUUGUGUAGGGGACACACUUUCCUCUUGAGAUUUCCCAUAGUACCUAACACCUGCCUCCAUUACUCGCUUAGUAAUAACAAACACUUAUACAUAGUGUUUACUCUAUUCCAGG
Molecule: long non-coding RNA, 1353 nt
Filed under: Equus caballus (horse)
Lineage: Eukaryota; Metazoa; Chordata; Mammalia; Perissodactyla; Equidae
Description: lncRNA (ENSECAG00000052742.1)
Source: RNAcentral